This 76-nucleotide transfer RNA is filed under the name Methanobrevibacter sp. RNAcentral describes it as "tRNA-Thr". It matches the Rfam family "tRNA". From Rfam's summary of the family: Transfer RNA (tRNA) molecules are approximately 80 nucleotides in length. Their secondary structure includes four short double-helical elements and three loops (D, anti-codon, and T loops). Further hydrogen bonds mediate the characteristic L-shaped molecular structure. tRNAs have two regions of fundamental functional importance: the anti-codon, which is responsible for specific mRNA codon recognition, and the 3' end, to which the tRNAs corresponding amino acid is attached (by aminoacyl-tRNA synthetases). tRNAs cope with the degeneracy of the genetic code in two manners: having more than one tRNA (with a specific anti-codon) for a particular amino acid; and 'wobble' base-pairing, i.e. permitting non-standard base-pairing at the 3rd anti-codon position. Lineage: Archaea; Methanobacteriati; Methanobacteriota; Methanobacteria; Methanobacteriales; Methanobacteriaceae. The record is from RNAcentral.
GCCUGGUUAGCUCAGCUGGCUUUAGAGCAGGUGUUUAGUAAUCAUCAGGUCGGGAGUUCGAAUCUCUCACCAGGCG